UAAUUGAAGAGUUUGAUCAUGGCUCAGAUUGAACGCUGGCGGCAGGCCUAACACAUGCAAGUCGAACGGUAA
RNAcentral lists this ribosomal RNA (72 nucleotides) under Cronobacter sakazakii. Its description in RNAcentral is "partial 16S ribosomal RNA". It matches the Rfam family "Bacterial small subunit ribosomal RNA", at positions 1 to 72 of the family's 1533-position model. Lineage: Bacteria; Pseudomonadati; Pseudomonadota; Gammaproteobacteria; Enterobacterales; Enterobacteriaceae. The record is from RNAcentral. RNAcentral also lists the same sequence under 4 other names.